RNAcentral lists this transfer RNA (69 nucleotides) under Ptosima chinensis. RNAcentral describes it as "tRNA-Met". Lineage: Eukaryota; Metazoa; Arthropoda; Insecta; Coleoptera; Buprestidae. The record is from RNAcentral.
AAAAAGAUAAGCUAAAAAAGCUGGUGGGCCCAUACCCCGCAUAUAAAGGUUAUAACCCUUUUCUUUUUA